ACCGAUAUAACGGUGGCGCAGUUGGUAGCACUGUUUGCAGCAAGAAGGUCCUGGGUUCGACUCCCAGCCGGGGUC
This is a non-coding RNA of Crenichthys baileyi (White River springfish), 75 nucleotides long. NCBI's taxonomy places the organism in Eukaryota, Metazoa, Chordata, Actinopteri, Cyprinodontiformes, Goodeidae. The record is from the annotation of a GenBank genome assembly.